RNAcentral lists this ribosomal RNA (252 nucleotides) under uncultured bacterium. Its description in RNAcentral is "partial 16S ribosomal RNA". It matches the Rfam family "Bacterial small subunit ribosomal RNA", at positions 524 to 776 of the family's 1533-position model. The record is from RNAcentral.
UACGUAGGGGGCAAGCGUUGUCCGGAAUUAUUGGGCGUAAAGCGCGCGCAGGCGGCCUUGUAAGUCUGUCGUUUAAACUCGGAGCUCAACUUCGAGUCGCGAUGGAAACUGCAAAGCUUGAGUGCAGAAGAGGAAAGUGGAAUUCCACGUGUAGCGGUGAAAUGCGUAGAGAUGUGGAGGAACACCAGUGGCGAAGGCGACUUUCUGGGCUGUAACUGACGCUGAGGCGCGAAAGCUAGGGGAGCAAACAGG